UACGGAGGGUGCAAGCGUUAAUCGGAAUCACUGGGCGUAAAGCGCACGUAGGCGGCCCGUUAAGUCAGAUGUGAAACCCCUGGGCUCAACCUGGGAAUGGCAUUUGAUACUAGCGCGCUCGAGUCUGAUAGAGGGGGGUGGAAUUCCAGGUGUAGCGGUGAAAUGCGUAGAUAUCUGGAGGAACACCGGUGGCGAAGGCGGCCCCCUGGAUCAUGACUGACGCUGAGGUGCGAAAGCGUGGGUAGCAAACAGG
RNAcentral lists this ribosomal RNA (253 nucleotides) under uncultured bacterium. Its description in RNAcentral is "partial 16S ribosomal RNA". It matches the Rfam family "Bacterial small subunit ribosomal RNA", at positions 524 to 776 of the family's 1533-position model. The record is from RNAcentral.